AGGGGGGGAAACAGAGUUACGGGCGUGAGAAGUAUCAAACUCCGCCCGAGUCUUCAGAUGCGUUUCUGACCUUUUCUUCCUUCAUUUGUUUUAACAACUCAUGAGGGACGCUGGUUAUUUAUUCUCCGAUACGCCGGCCAAUCAUCUUGCGUUUUUGUGUCUGAUCCUCCCAUUUCCUGCACCUAACGAGUCUGACCAGCCAGCAGCUUCCCGUAACACGAGCUUUACCAAACAGUACAUACCCGAUUGACUUCUCAACCAUUUACCUAGACAUUUUUCUUUGCGUCUAUCAUCAGGCUUUAAAUUAACUUUAGGGCUUGCUAUGAUACUGAUUAAGCUCCUUCAGCCUUUCUUCUAGCGGUGGGAGCCGUGAAUCGAGAAAGAGGGCAAAGCCAGGGUUCUAUUUCCUGUGGCAAUAAAAGGACGAAUAAAAGUGAAAUGAGGAAAAAAAAUGA
This 455-nucleotide small RNA is filed under the name Histoplasma capsulatum var. duboisii H88. RNAcentral's name for it is "Histoplasma capsulatum H88 hypothetical RNA". The record is from RNAcentral. Lineage: Eukaryota; Fungi; Ascomycota; Eurotiomycetes; Onygenales; Ajellomycetaceae.